ACUUUGGCAACACGUCACACAAACCGUGAUUUAAGUCAGGUACAGUAUCAAUAACUGUGUAACAGAGCAGGUACUUUGCAAUUUAAAGAAAACGAAAUCUUAUUUUCUCUCCAGCACUGAGACUUCCUCGGCGCUGCCAAUCACAUCAUCGUCUCUCACUGAUGGUCAAUCCAAUGAACGAGCAUUGGAGACUGAUGUGCAUGCGCUGUGAGUUGGUCAAAGAAUUUGAUUCAGUGCUCUCCUAUGAGC
This is a non-coding RNA of Pelobates cultripes (western spadefoot toad), 249 nucleotides long. The record is from the annotation of a GenBank genome assembly. NCBI's taxonomy places the organism in Eukaryota, Metazoa, Chordata, Amphibia, Anura, Pelobatidae.